CGCAGCGCCCCUCAGCAACCAUUCCUCAUGCGGGUCCCGACUCGUUCCUUUUAAAACGAUUCCACAGGCUGGUUCUUUUCGCAUGGCUCCUGCCAGGCACCCCCGUGGGCUGUUUGCUCCCAGGACCGGUGCUCCCAUGUGGAAAUUCUGCCCUUCCCCCUGCCCCACCCCGCCCCUCCACUGAGGGUCCGCAACCCAGACCUGCCUUGCUCCUUGUGCCGGAUAUAAAAUCGGACCGGAAGGCGGAGGGAAGCAGAGCGUAGCCGUCAUCUUCAUCUCUCGCCAGGGCCCCAAGGCGCAUUGUAUAGCCAUGUACAGUCUUGGUUGGAUAAGUGUUUUAUUCCUCAUUGGCUCCUGGCUUUGAGUGGUAGGCGCCCGAACGGCUGCCCACAGUGGCUAGGUUUGAUUUCUGUGGCUAUACUGGAGAUGGAAGUGGCUGAACUGCAGAUAAAUAUGAAACACUGAGGCGACAUUUUUACGGCUGUUUUGGUGACCUGUACCACAUUGGAAUCCUUCUCCAUCAUGAAAGGAGCCUCGCUCUUCCUAGAGGAGUCUCCCACCGAUGCUUAUUUACGUAACACUUGUGCCACUGAGACACACAGGGAAAAGCAUUGAAAAUGACCCAACUCUGCAGAAAAUAACUCCAGACCUCAUGUUCAUGAAGCUGAAUAAUGUCCGUUUUCUACUUCCCCUGCCAGUGUUAAAAAGGAUGCAUUUUAA
Pelodiscus sinensis (Chinese soft-shelled turtle) is the source of this 720-nucleotide non-coding RNA. Lineage: Eukaryota; Metazoa; Chordata; Testudines; Trionychidae. The record is from RefSeq and is a predicted model, not a curated record.